This 502-nucleotide ribosomal RNA is filed under the name uncultured Glomeromycotina. Its description in RNAcentral is "partial small subunit ribosomal RNA". It matches the Rfam family "Eukaryotic small subunit ribosomal RNA", at positions 591 to 1092 of the family's 1831-position model. Lineage: Eukaryota; Fungi; Glomeromycota. The record is from RNAcentral.
CCAAUAGCGUAUAUUAAAGUUGUUGCAGUUAAAAAGCUCGUAGUUGAACUUCGGGGUUUGCUCAUUGGUCAGGCUUAAUUGUCUGUACUGGUGAGAUAAAUCUCUACCUUCUGAGGAACUUUCAUGCCAUUUAUUUGGUGUGAUGGGAAAUCAGGACUGUUACUUUGAAAAAAUUAGAGUGUUUAAAGCAGACUAACGUCUGAAUACAUUAGCAUGGAAUAAUGAAAUAGGACGGAUUGAUUCUAUUUCGUUGGUUUCUAGGAUCACCGUAAUGAUUAAUAGGGAUAGUUGGGGGCAUUAGUAUUCAAUUGUCAGAGGUGAAAUUCUUGGAUUUAUUGAAGACUAACUACUGCGAAAGCAUUUGCCAAGGAUGUUUUCAUUAAUCAAGAACGAAAGUUAGGGGAUCGAAGACGAUCAGAUACCGUCGUAGUCUUAACCAUAAACUAUGCCGACUAGGGAUCGGACGAAGUUAAUUUUAUAAUGACGCGUUCGGCACCUUACG